CCCACCGGCGACCGGCGCACGGGUGAGUAACACGUAUGCAACCUGGCCGCCACAGGGGGAUAACCCGCGGAAACGCGGCCUAAUACCCCGUGACGCCACCGGAGGGCAUCCUCCGGUGGCCAAAGGAGCGAUCCGGUGGCGGAUGGGCAUGCGGCGCAUUAGCUAGACGGCGGGGUGACGGCCCACCGUGGCGACGAUGCGUAGGGGUUCUGAGAGGAAGGCCCCCCACACUGGGACUGAGACACGGCCCAGACUCCUACGGAAGGCAGCAG
This 272-nucleotide ribosomal RNA is filed under the name uncultured bacterium. Its description in RNAcentral is "partial 16S ribosomal RNA". It matches the Rfam family "Bacterial small subunit ribosomal RNA", at positions 84 to 354 of the family's 1533-position model. The record is from RNAcentral.